GGAAAAUUGAGAUAAACACAGACAGAGCAUCGACAGCGAGUUUGAUUGACCAGAUCGUGAAAAUCAGACAUAUUGAAAUGUGACGUAUAUGUACGUCAAGUGAAAAGUUGCUGACAAACGACGGACGACUUAUCAAAAUGGAAAGGAUUUGGUGACAAGGUCAGCAUUCCUUGAUCGGUACAUUACACAUCAAUCAGGAUCCAAGUGAUUUUUAACUUCGUUAUUUCUUAGACGACAAUCCUAGUGUAGUCAGGGAGGUAUGGGAGUUCAAAGACAAUUCCAGUGUAGAUAUGGAAGUACUGGAGUUUAAAGACAAUCCUAAGGUGGACAGGGAAGUAUUGGAGUUCAAAGACAAUCCCAGUGAAGACAGGGAAUUGUUGGAGUUCAAAGACAGGGAAGUGUUAGAUUCCAAAGACAAUCCUAAGGUGGACAGGGAAAUAUUGGAGUUCAAAGACAAUCCUAGUGUCGUGAGGGAAGUAUUGUUGUUCAAAGAAUGAAGUUGAACAGAUUUGUUUCUGGUAUGUUUAUUCAUGUAUGUAUAAAUAUUAAGAAAUACCACAAUUGUAAAUACAAACACAUAAACAUUGUAAAACAGGCACCUAUAUAAAUACUUAGAGUAUAUAUAAGU
This is a long non-coding RNA of Ostrea edulis (European flat oyster), 628 nucleotides long. RefSeq lists it as uncharacterized. The transcript has 3 exons. NCBI's taxonomy places the organism in Eukaryota, Metazoa, Mollusca, Bivalvia, Ostreida, Ostreidae. The record is from RefSeq and is a predicted model, not a curated record.